GUUGUAUGGUUAAGUGACUAAGCGUACACGGUGGAUGCCUUGGCAGUCAGAGGCGAUGAAAGACGUAGUAACUUGCGAUAAGCCCAGAUUAGGUAGUAACAACCAUUUGAGUCUGGGAUUUCUGAAUGGGGAAACCCACGUGCAUAAGCACGUAUCCUUACCUGAAUACAUAGGGUAAGGAGGCGAACCGGGGGAACUGAAACAUCUAAGUACCCCGAGGAAAAGAAAUCAACCGAGAUUCCGAAAGUAGCGGCGAGCGAAAUUGGACUAGCCCUUAAGCUUUACACGCGUUAGACGAACGGUCUGGAAAGUCCGACGAUACAGGGUGAUAGUCCCGUAGUUGACGACGUGUGUUCAGUGAAAUCGAGUAGGGCGGGACACGUGAUAUCCUGUCUGAAUAUGGGGGGACCAUCCUCCAAGGCUAAAUACUACUGACUGACCGAUAGUGAACCAGUACCGUGAGGGAAAGGCGAAAAGAACCCCUGUGAGGGGAGUGAAAUAGAACCUGAAACCGUGUACGUACAAGCAGUAGGAGCAGGCUUGUCCUGUGACUGCGUACCUUUUGUAUAAUGGGUCAGCGACUUAUAUUCAGUGGCAAGGUUAACCAUCUAGGGGAGCCGUAGGGAAACCGAGUCUUAACUGGGCGUUCAGUCUCUGGAUAUAGACCCGAAACCAGGUGAUCUAGCCAUGGGCAGGUUGAAGGUUGAGUAACAUCAACUGGAGGACCGAACCGACUAAUGUUGAAAAAUUAGCGGAUGACUUGUGGCUAGGGGUGAAAGGCCAAUCAAACCUGGAGAUAGCUGGUUCUCCCCGAAAGCUAUUUAGGUAGCGCCUCGGACGAAUACUACUGGGGGUAGAGCACUGUUAAGGCUAGGGGGUCAUCCCGACUUACCAACCCUUUGCAAACUCCGAAUACCAGUAAGUACUAUCCGGGAGACACACGGCGGGUGCUAACGUCCGUCGUGGAGAGGGAAACAACCCAGACCGCCAGCUAAGGUCCCAAAUUACUACUAAGUGGGAAACGAUGUGGGAAGGCUCAGACAGCCAGGAUGUUGGCUUAGAAGCAGCCAUCAUUUAAAGAAAGCGUAAUAGCUCACUGGUCGAGUCGGCCUGCGCGGAAGAUGUAACGGGGCUAAGUAGUAAACCGAAGCUGCGGCAAUGUGCUUUUGCACAUUGGGUAGGGGAGCGUUCUGUAAGCGGUUGAAGGUGUGUGGUAACGCAUGCUGGACGUAUCAGAAGUGCGAAUGCUGACAUGAGUAACGAUAAAGGGGGUGAAAAACCUCCUCGCCGGAAGACCAAGGGUUCCUGUCCAACGUUAAUCGGGGCAGGGUAAGUCGACCCCUAAGGCGAGGCCGAAAGGCGUAGUCGAUGGGAAACGGGUUAAUAUUCCCGUACUUCUUACAAUUGCGAUGGGGGGACGGAGAAGGCUAGGUGGGCCUGGCGACGGUUGUCCAGGUUCAAGUGCGUAGGCUUAAGAGUUAGGUAAAUCCGGCUCUUUCUAAGGCUGAGACACGACGUCGAGCACCUACGGGUGUGAAGUCAUUGAUGCCAUGCUUCCAGGAAAAGCCUCUAAGCUUCAGAUUGUAAGGAAUCGUACCCCAAACCGACACAGGUGGUCGGGUAGAGAAUACCAAGGCGCUUGAGAGAACUCGGGUGAAGGAACUAGGCAAAAUGGUACCGUAACUUCGGGAGAAGGUACGCUCUCGACGGUGAAGUCCCUCGCGGAUGGAGCUAUUGAGAGUCGCAGAUACCAGGUGGCUGCAACUGUUUAUUAAAAACACAGCACUGUGCAAAAUCGUAAGAUGACGUAUACGGUGUGACGCCUGCCCGGUGCCGGAAGGUUAAUUGAUGGGGUUAGACUUCGGUCGAAGCUCUUGAUCGAAGCCCCGGUAAACGGCGGCCGUAACUAUAACGGUCCUAAGGUAGCGAAAUUCCUUGUCGGGUAAGUUCCGACCUGCACGAAUGGCGUAAUGAUGGCCACGCUGUCUCCACCCGAGACUCAGUGAAAUUGAAAUCGCUGUGAAGAUGCAGUGUACCCGCGGCUAGACGGAAAGACCCCGUGAACCUUUACUACAGCUUGGCACUGAACAUUGACCCUACAUGUGUAGGAUAGGUGGGAGGCUUUGAAGCACGUACGCCAGUAUGUGUGGAGCCGUCCUUGAAAUACCACCCUUGUAGUGUUGAUGUUCUAACGUCGACCCCUAAUCGGGGUUGCGGACAGUGCCUGGUGGGUAGUUUGACUGGGGCGGUCUCCUCCCAAAGAGUAACGGAGGAGCACGAAGGUGGGCUAAUCACGGUUGGACAUCGUGAGGUUAGUGCAAUGGCAUAAGCCCGCUUGACUGCGAGAAUGACAAUUCGAGCAGGUGCGAAAGCAGGUCAUAGUGAUCCGGUGGUUCUGAAUGGAAGGGCCAUCGCUCAACGGAUAAAAGGUACUCCGGGGAUAACAGGCUGAUACCGCCCAAGAGUUCAUAUCGACGGCGGUGUUUGGCACCUCGAUGUCGGCUCAUCACAUCCUGGGGCUGAAGUCGGUCCCAAGGGUAUGGCUGUUCGCCAUUUAAAGUGGUACGCGAGCUGGGUUUAGAACGUCGUGAGACAGUUCGGUCCCUAUCUGCCGUGGGCGUUGGAAGAUUGAAGGGGGCUGCUCCUAGUACGAGAGGACCGGAGUGGACGAACCUCUGGUGUUCGGGUUGUGUCGCCAGACGCAUUGCCCGGUAGCUAAGUUCGGAAUCGAUAACCGCUGAAAGCAUCUAAGCGGGAAGCGAGCCCUGAGAUGAGUCUUCCCUGAUACUUUAAGUAUCCUAAAGGGUUGUCGGAGACUACGACGUUGAUAGGUCAGGUGUGUAAGUGCUGUGAGGCAUUGAGCUAACUGAUACUAAUUGCCCGUGAGGCUUAACCAUACAACACCCAAGGGGUUU
Molecule: ribosomal RNA, 2915 nt
Filed under: Vibrio parahaemolyticus
Lineage: Bacteria; Pseudomonadati; Pseudomonadota; Gammaproteobacteria; Vibrionales; Vibrionaceae
Description: bacterial LSU rRNA
Rfam family: Bacterial large subunit ribosomal RNA
Source: RNAcentral